RNAcentral lists this ribosomal RNA (410 nucleotides) under Verrucomicrobiota bacterium. RNAcentral describes it as "Verrucomicrobia bacterium partial 16S ribosomal RNA". It matches the Rfam family "Bacterial small subunit ribosomal RNA", at positions 355 to 776 of the family's 1533-position model. The record is from RNAcentral. Lineage: Bacteria; Pseudomonadati; Verrucomicrobiota.
UGGGGAAUCUUGCACAAUGGGCGAAAGCCUGAUGCAGCGACGCCGCGUGCGGGAUGAAGGCCUUCGGGUUGUAAACCGCUUUCAGCAGGGACGAGGCCGCAAGGUGACGGUACCUGCAGAAGAAGCCCCGGCUAACUACGUGCCAGCAGCCGCGGUAAUACGUAGGGGGCAAGCGUUAUCCGGAUUCAUUGGGCGUAAAGCGCGCGUAGGCGGUUUGUUAGGUCAGGAGUUAAAUCUGGGGGCUCAACCCCUAUCCGCUCCUGAUACCGGCAGGCUUGAGUCUGGUAGGGGAAGGCGGAAUUCCAAGUGUAGCGGUGAAAUGCGCAGAUAUUUGGAAGAACACCGGUGGCGAAGGCGGCCUUCUGGGCCACGACUGACGCUGAGGCGCGAAAGCUAGGUGAGCGAACAGG